Molecule: ribosomal RNA, 795 nt
Filed under: uncultured bacterium
Lineage: Bacteria
Description: bacterial SSU rRNA
Rfam family: Bacterial small subunit ribosomal RNA
Source: RNAcentral
AGAGUUUGAUCAUGGCUCAGAUUGAACGCUGGCGGAAUGCUUUACACAUGCAAGUCGAACGGCAGCACGGGAGCUUGCUCCUGGUGGCGAGUGGCGAACGGGUGAGUAAUAUAUCGGAACGUGCCCAGUCGUGGGGGAUAACUAUCCGAAAGGAUAGCUAAUACCGCAUACGACCUGAGGGUGAAAGCGGGGGACCGCAAGGCCUCGCGCGAUUGGAGCGGCCGAUAUCGGAUUAGCUAGUUGGUGAGGUAAAGGCUCACCAAGGCGACGAUCCGUAGCUGGUCUGAGAGGACGACCAGCCACACUGGAACUGAGACACGGUCCAGACUCCUACGGGAGGCAGCAGUGGGGAAUUUUGGACAAUGGGGGAAACCCUGAUCCAGCCAUGCCGCGUGAGUGAAGAAGGCCUUCGGGUUGUAAAGCUCUUUCAGACGGAAAGAAACGGUCACGGCUAAUACCCGUGACUAAUGACGGUACCGUCAGAAGAAGCACCGGCUAACUACGUGCCAGCAGCCGCGGUAAUACGUAGGGUGCGAGCGUUAAUCGGAAUUACUGGGCGUAAAGCGUGCGCAGGCGGUUUUGUAAGACAGAUGUGAAAUCCCCGGGCUUAACCUGGGAACUGCAUUUGUGACUGCAAGACUAGAGUACGGCAGAGGGGGGUAGAAUUCCACGUGUAGCAGUGAAAUGCGUAGAUAUGUGGAGGAAUACCGAUGGCGAAGGCAGCCCCCUGGGUCGAUACUGACGCUCAUGCACGAAAGCGUGGGGAGCAAACAGGAUUAGAUACCCUAGUAGUCC